Molecule: long non-coding RNA, 2351 nt
Organism: Mus musculus (house mouse)
Lineage: Eukaryota; Metazoa; Chordata; Mammalia; Rodentia; Muridae
Product: predicted gene 16196
Exons: 3
Source: RefSeq, a predicted model, not a curated record
ACAGUGAGCCACCUGCCUCUGCUCCCCUGUUUCUGAUUUAAAGGGAGGCAGGAAGCAACUAAAUUCACAAGCAAGCAUGAUAAUCGUUCUCAAACCUGUGGCUUCUCCCCUCCCAGUUAUCUGUGGGCUUUUGUUUGGGAACACUGUACUGUAUUAUUUACAGAAGAAAUAAUAAAUGAGAAUCCGAGAGGGCAAGGAAGGUCAAAAGAUGCUAGAUGGUAAUUAGGCUAAUUAGAUAGUUGAAGGGGCCCCUGUGGGUGGUUAUCCGCUGGGUUGCUAGCCGCAUCCAGGCAGUAGGGUGCAUCUUAUUUUUGUUAAUAUUACACAUGACUCACAUGCUUCUGUCUCCCACGGCUCCCGAGUUUCCUUGUUUCACUCAGAAAUUCCUCCUCCUCGUGAGGCUCAAAAGGACAUAGGCCCUCUUCUGACUUUUUCCUGUGACAACUAGUUGCCUCCUAUGGGUGACAGAUAGUUUGGGGUUUUCCUGUGGUCUUCAAACCCACAUUUCCCUAGCUUCUCAGUGUCCCUGGGGCUGUGUCAGGACGAUCUGCUAUUCUGGAACUUUUGUUUGUUUGAGACAGGAUUUCUCUGUGUAGCCCUGGCUGUCCUGGAACUCACUUUGUAGACCAGGCUAGCCUCGAACUCAGAAAUCCACCUGCCUCUGCCUCCCAAAUGCUGGGAUUAAUGGCGUGCGCCACCACGCCCGGCUAUAAGUUCCUUUUUAAGGUUUAAUUUUAUUAUUUUAAUUUAUGUGUGCAUCUGAGCAUAAGUGUGUGCAUGUGAGUACGGGGACCCAGGAGCUGGAGUUUCUGGCGGUUGGGAGCCACCUGCCAUGGGUGCUUGGAAUUGAACUUGGGUUCUGUCUUAGUUAGGGUUUUACUGCUGUGAACAGGCACCACGACCAAUGCAAGUCUUAUAAAAGACAUUUAAUUGGGGCUGGCUUACAGGUUUGGAGGUUCAGUCGAUAAUCAUCAAGGCAGGGACAUGGCAGCAUCCAGGCAGGCAUGGUGCAGGAGGAGCUGAGAGUUCUACAUCUUCAUCUGAAGGCUGCUAGUGGAAGACUGGCUUCCAGGCAUCUAGGGUGAGGGUCUUAAGCCCACACCUACAAUGACACACCUACUCCAACAAGGCUACACCUCUUAAUAGGGCCACUCCCUGGGCCAAGCAUAGACAAACCAUCACAGGUCCUCUGAAAGAGUAGCAGUGUAUACUCUUAACUGCUGGGCCAUCUCCCCUGCCCUGUAAAUAAAUAUAUUAAAAACAAGCUCAGGGAAACAGCAGAGUGUUUGCCUGUCAUGUACAAGUCCCUAGGUUCAAUCUCCAGUAGAGGGUGCUGGACACUCAGAAACUGCUGCCUAUUUUUGGUGGCCCUAGUGUAUGUGGUCAGCCCCAGGACCUCAGCCAUCUACAGCCACAGCAUUGCUGCUCUCUCAGCAUUUCUGAAGAUCAAAUUUGGCAAUGUCUGGAAAGACAACUAGAAAAAAAAGAUAAGAAGGGGGACAUUCUGGGUCCCUCUAACACACACACACACACACACACACACACACACACACACACAAUCUUGGGAGCUCUCAGUACACUGUAAACAAACCUGCAGAGCAGAGGAGCAGAAAGUCACCACAGAAGCCCCAAGGCAUUCAGAACAACCCAAGGAGUAGCCUGGGAGUGUAGAUUGACCCCAGCGGGUCUAAUUGCAAUCUGUGAUCAUUGCUAAGGCACCAGAGGCCUGUGUAGACUGAUCUGCUGGGUGGAGAAGGGUAAAUUAGAGAUAACUAGGUGUUUUUCAGUGGAAAGAAAACCUGGUCCCUCAGUUAGCAAUUACCAGCUGAGCCUUCCAGAACCAGUUAUAAAACAUGGUCACGAGGAAGAUGAGCGCCGCGCCUGCUCAGGUUGCCUGAAUUUAUGUCCCAUAUGUGAAGUUCCUGAAGUGGCCAGAAGAUGGCGAGUGAUUCCCCGGAAACUGAAGCUGCAGAUGGCUGUGAGCUGCCUGAUGGGUGCUGGAAAUCAAACAGCUGUAUUCCUAGCUGUGUUCCUAGCUGAUGACAUCCCUCCUGGCUCAAGAAGAUGGUUUCUAAAAUCCCUGAUGGGGUAUGGACACAAAAUCACAGGUGCCUACGGAUGCUGGAAGAUGAUGGUGGAUCCCCUGGAGCUGAGUUUUUUAUACACAGUAGUGAUGGGAACCAAACUGACAGUAACUGCUGAGUCACCUAUCCAGCUCCCACUUUCAUACAAGUGGUCAUCUACAAACCCUCUCAAAUGAGUUUUGGAAAAUCCUACUCAAUAUGUGACACCCCCCCCCCCCCCACAAUAGACAGCCGUGGAGCCAUUAAAGGGUCUGAGGAGUCCCAGGA